Molecule: ribosomal RNA, 503 nt
Filed under: Salmonella enterica subsp. enterica serovar Enteritidis
Lineage: Bacteria; Pseudomonadati; Pseudomonadota; Gammaproteobacteria; Enterobacterales; Enterobacteriaceae
Description: partial 23S ribosomal RNA
Rfam family: Bacterial large subunit ribosomal RNA
Source: RNAcentral
ACACGGUGGAUGCCCUGGCAGUCAGAGGCGAUGAAGGGCGUACUAAUCUGCGAUAAGCGCCGGUAAGGUGAUAUGAACCGUUAUAACCGGCGAUACCCGAAUGGGGAAACCCAGUGUGAUUCGUCACACUAUCAUUAACUGAAUCCAUAGGUUAAUGAGGCGAACCGGGGGAACUGAAACAUCUAAGUACCCCGAGGAAAAGAAAUCAACCGAGAUUCCCCCAGUAGCGGCGAGCGAACGGGGAGGAGCCCAGAGCCUGAAUCAGCAUGUGUGUUAGUGGAAGCGUCUGGAAAGGCGCGCGAUACAGGGUGACAGCCCCGUACACAAAAGCGCAUGUGCUGUGAGCUCGAUGAGUAGGGCGGGACACGUGGUAUCCUGUCUGAAUAUGGGGGGACCAUCCUCCAAGGCUAAAUACUCCUGACUGACCGAUAGUGAACCAGUACCGUGAGGGAAAGGCGAAAAGAACCCCGGCGAGGGGAGUGAAAAAGAACCUGAAACCGUGU